CUGAGAGAUAUCUCACUUGGUAGAGCAUGAGACUCUUAAUCUCAGGGUUGUGAGUUUGAGCCCCAUGUUGGGUGAAAGA
Molecule: transfer RNA, 79 nt
Filed under: Podarcis lilfordi (Lilford's wall lizard)
Lineage: Eukaryota; Metazoa; Chordata; Lepidosauria; Squamata; Lacertidae
Description: tRNA.Lys
Source: RNAcentral